Molecule: long non-coding RNA, 2226 nt
Organism: Gasterosteus aculeatus aculeatus (three-spined stickleback)
Lineage: Eukaryota; Metazoa; Chordata; Actinopteri; Perciformes; Gasterosteidae
Source: Ensembl
GUGUGUGUGUGUUGACUGGUUGGGGAAAGAGUUUCUGGUGCUUCACUUCCAUGUUCGACAGCAUGUUUGCGCGUCUCAGCUCAGAGCGUCUCUCAGCCUAAUCCGUCCUUAUCUCCCAGCGCGACAACACAACAAGAGGAUCUCUAAAGAAGACAUUUCUCUUUUUCCGCGGCGCUGAGCGCUCCAGCGAUGCUGUUUAAGCGCCGCCUGCUUGUGCGCUAUGUCUUUUCUCUUCUUACAAGAUUCAUUUGGUUUGAGCGUGCACUCACACCUGCGCAUGAGUGCCUUUAACUCAGCGAGAAGAACAAGUGUGUGUGUGCUUUUGUCUGAACUUGUGCAUUCCAGCUCAGGAAGCGAGUGCUGUUGUCAUUCCAAAGCACCUCCAACAUCAAACUCAGACUAAAGGUUGUCUGCAAGUCUUGACAUUAGAUAAAUGCCUGGUCGGGUUGUACAUACAGCUUUACCAAUUCUCCAAUAGGUCUCCCGGUCUCUCUCUCCCCCUCUAUCUGCCAGCCUCUCUUUCUCUCUCCAUCCAGGCUGAUCUAAUGACUCAUAGGAAUGCAUCGAGCUGCUUGUCAGAGAUCAAUCAUCUUCGUCAGGUCGUUCUACCGAUUGUUUGAAUAGCGGGCCAUUAGAGAGGAGCUGUUUGGAGGUGUUUUGUGAACCUAAGCGGCUGCAAAGGUCAGCUGGAUAGAGAGAGAAAGAGGGAGGCCAGGACUGAGUGAGAAACAUACAAAGAGAGAAGUGUGUGAGUGUGUGCGGGGCCGCUACGACAGCAGGAGGACGAGAGGCAACAGACAGGUGGAGGUAUGCGGAGAUAGAAAGACAGGCCUUGUCAGCCCCGUUGCGUGACUCUCACUGCCCUUUGUUAGUAUGAAUCCUUAAACAGCUAGCUGCAAGUGCAAAACCUGAGAUUAUUAAUUCCCACGCACCGCCUGACAUCCAGGCCUGAUCUGAAAUAUGCAUGUCAGAGAGUAGAAGAGAGAUGGGUGGGUGCUGGAGGGGGGGUGGGAUGAGAAGAUAGAGCGGGUGGGAAGCGGGGAGACCAAAAAAGGGCCAAUACCGGAAUGGUGGCUGCCUUUUGGAAGUGGCGACAGAUUCUGUUUAAUGUGGCCUGUCUGUAGCCAUCUAAUGAGGGAACCCACCUGUGAUUUUGCUUAGCGCCAUGAGAGAAACCCCUGGCCGCAAACUGCUAACACAAGGUGCCGUCAACUUUUUCAAAGGUCCUUCCUCCUGAAACUGCCACGUCUUGUCUUUUGAAAUGAAGUUCCGAGACGGUGUAAUUUAAAGAUCUUCAGUCGCUGGAUAUAAGACAUUUUCCUCCUUUUUUUUUUUUUGGUUUCCAAAGAGAUUGGGCGCGUGUAAUUGUGUCUGUGUGUGUGUGUUUGUCUCUCGCUCUCUCUGCGUGUGUGACACCUUCUUUCCUUUGAAAAACAAGAAGAAGAAAAAACAGACUGGGAUUUCAGCAGAAACAACAAUUGAUGAUUAAAAGUUUUAUUGCCAAGCUGUCUGCAGAGGUACAAUCAUAAUGCUGAGGUCAUUUGAACAGCAGAAAAGUUUGCUGCUCAUCAGUACCGUGGCUUCAGGAAGUAAAGCGCUGUGGCAUCUCAUUUUAAAACAGGGGGAGGUGAGCGAAGCCGACACCAGACAUAAAACCCAGAUUUCAUUUGUCGAGGGGGUUUCGUCUUCUGAACCUGCCGCUUUUACAGUAAUCUGACCGCUGCGGUUGAAGUUGUGUUCAUAAAUGGGACCUGAUUUAAGGCGGUUGCGUCUUGCCAGUAAUUGCCGGUGUGGUGGGGACCUUUGUUGCAGACUCCUCUUAUCAAAAACCUUCAGAGGGGAAAGCUGAAUUAAAAUCAGCUGUUUAGCGGAUAAUGUAAAGGCGGGUUUCCGUUACGAGGAUACGGAAAGUGCAAAAAAAAUGGAGAAAAUCUCCUGCCCCACAUAACUGCACACGACAGCCAUCAAACUCAAGGCCCAAAAGUCAUCAUCCUUUUUUGUGGAAUAUGAUAACAAAAAGACAUGAUAAAUAUACAGAAAGGCAAUUAUCUUAUUUCCUCCAGCUGCUAGUUUAUAUUCUUGAUGCUACUUUAAUCUACUUUUUUUUGUUUAUUCAUUUUUCUCCCUCCUUUUUCAUUUUUUGGUUGUUCCUUUCCCAGAUCUCACAAAGCGGUCGGAGAGGAAAAGUAGGGCGCUCCCUUUGCAACCCAAGACUACGUCUCUUCA